This 443-nucleotide long non-coding RNA is filed under the name Salmo salar (Atlantic salmon). Its description in RNAcentral is "lncRNA (ENSSSAG00000094695.1)". Lineage: Eukaryota; Metazoa; Chordata; Actinopteri; Salmoniformes; Salmonidae. The record is from RNAcentral.
ACCUGAGCAGAACAUGUCUCCUAUUCAAACCGCUACGGAGUGUUGACAGUGAAAGGUGAAAGUGAAAACCAGAGUUCAAUGGCAACGAUCUCAGCUACUGAUCUGGAGCAGCUGGCUGAAAUAGAGCUGCAGAAGGAGGAAGAUGAGGAACAGGGUCGUCACAGCUACCGUCCGGAUCGCCCUCCACCCCCACGUAGAGUCAGCUUCAGCCAGGACACCUCUCACCCCUACUACGAUGUGGCUCGACACGGGAUCCUCCAGGUAACCAGGACACCUCCUACUACGAUGUGGCUCGACACGGGAUCCUCCAGGUAACCAGGACACCUCCUACUACGAUGUGGCUCGACACGGGAUCCUCCAGGUCACAGGUAAACAGGACACCCCCUACUACGAUGUGGCUCGACACGGGAUCCUCCAGGUCACAGGACACCUCUCACCCCUAC